UACGUAGGGGCAAGCGUUAUCCGGAUUUACUGGGUGUAAAGGGAGCGCAGACGGCAGUGCAAGUCUGAUGUGAAAGCCCGGGGCUCAACCCCGGAACUGCAUUGGAAACUGUACAGCUUGAGUGUCGGAGAGGUAAGCGGAAUUCCUAGUGUAGCGGUGGAAUGCGCAGAUAUUUGGAAGAACACCGGUGGCGAAGGCGGCCUUCUGGGCCACGACUGACGCUGAGGCGCGAAAGCUAGGGGAGCGAACAGGAUUAGAUACCCUGGUA
Molecule: ribosomal RNA, 268 nt
Filed under: uncultured prokaryote
Description: partial 16S ribosomal RNA
Rfam family: Bacterial small subunit ribosomal RNA
Source: RNAcentral